RNAcentral lists this ribosomal RNA (253 nucleotides) under uncultured bacterium. Its description in RNAcentral is "partial 16S ribosomal RNA". It matches the Rfam family "Bacterial small subunit ribosomal RNA", at positions 524 to 776 of the family's 1533-position model. The record is from RNAcentral.
UACGUAGGGUGCGAGCGUUGUCCGGAAUUAUUGGGCGUAAAGAGCUCGUAGGCGGUUUGUUGCGUCUAUCGUGAAAACCUGCAGCUUAACUGUGGGCUUGCGGUGGAUACGGGCAGACUUGAGUUCGGUAGGGGAGAUUGGAAUUCCUGGUGUAGCGGUGAAAUGCGCAGAUAUCAGGAGGAACACCGGUGGCGAAGGCGGGUCUCUGGGCCGAUACUGACGCUGAGGAGCGAAAGCGUGGGGAGCGAACAGG